GAUGAACGCUGGCGGCGUGCCUAAUACAUGCAAGUAGAACGCUGAAGGAGGAGCUUGCUCUUCUGGAUGAGUUGCGAACGGGUGAGUAACGCGUAGGUAACCUGCCUGGUAGCGGGGGAUAACUAUUGGAAACGAUAGCUAAUACCGCAUGACAACAGUUAUUGCAUGAUAACUGUUUAAAAGGGGCAACUGCUCCACUACCAGAUGGACCUGCGUUGUAUUAGCUAGUUGGUGAGGUAACGGCUCACCAAGGCGACGAUACAUAGCCGACCUGAGAGGGUGAUCGGCCACACUGGGACUGAGACACGGCCCAGACUCCUACGGGAGGCAGCAGUAGGGAAUCUUCGGCAAUGGACGGAAGUCUGACCGAGCAACGUCGCGUGAGUGAAGAAGGGUUUCGGAUCGUAAAGCUCUGUUGAAAGAGAAGAACGAGUGUGAGAGUGGAAAGUUCACACUGUGACGGUAUCUUACCAGAAAGGGACGGCUAACUACGUG
Molecule: ribosomal RNA, 495 nt
Filed under: uncultured bacterium
Lineage: Bacteria
Description: partial 16S ribosomal RNA
Rfam family: Bacterial small subunit ribosomal RNA
Source: RNAcentral